Molecule: ribosomal RNA, 253 nt
Filed under: uncultured bacterium
Lineage: Bacteria
Description: partial 16S ribosomal RNA
Rfam family: Bacterial small subunit ribosomal RNA
Source: RNAcentral
UACGGAGGGGGCUAGCGUUGUUCGGAAUUACUGGGCGUAAAGCGCACGUAGGCGGCUUUGUAAGUUAGAGGUGAAAGCCCGGGGCUCAACUCCGGAAUUGCCUUUAAGACUGCAUCGCUAGAAUUGUGGAGAGGUAAGUGGAAUUCCGAGUGUAGAGGUGAAAUGCGUAGAUAUCGGAAGGAACACCUGUGGCGAAAGCGGCUCACUGGACCAUUACUGACGCUGAUGCACGAAAGCUAGGGGAGCAAACAGG